AACCUCAUUUUCUUGGAUCAUGUUAAGUUUAUGUGAUGGUUGAUCAAGUAUAGCUUUCUGUUUAGGACAAUCAACAUAGUACCAAUGGUUAACAAAGAAAGCAAGACAUAUCAGUGUGUGCAAUCUAUAUGGGCUGUGUUCGUGUUUCUCAGUCCAGUUUGCUUUGUUGAAAUUUGUGUACUGAUAUUUGCAUUUAGGCCUUUUUUUAAAGCCAUUGCUUUAUCAGUUUAUUUAUUUUUACCUACGAGUUUAAAUGCCCCUUUGGUAUCUUUCGCCUUUCUUUUUACAGAUAUAGAUGACUUUUAAACAGUAAAAAAUAUUCAAUUAUGAAGAUCAAUCUAUAAAGAUAAGAAAGGAAUUUGUCAGGAGCUAUUUCCAUUGAAAGACUUUUUUUCAUUCAACUUUUAAGCUUAUUUUACAGAAACUACCGUAUGAUAAAUUGGCAGAAAAUUUGAAAAUCAAGUGUUCAACAAAGUAAGACCUACAAAUUAGUAAACAUGACCAAAAUUAUCAAUUGAUCGACCCCUGAUAGGAGUUUCUGCCCUAGACAAACUGUUUACCAAUUUGUUUAAUUUUUCAAAGAUAGAAAGGGAGAUAUGAUACUAGUAGAAAUAAAAAAACUUCAAAUACCAAUAAUGUUCAGCAAAGUUAAAGUAAGACCUACAAAUAAGUCAGAUGACUGAAAUUAUCAACUGAUCCUUUUUACCAAGUCAGGAAUAUUUUUAUGAUUUAACUUUUUAUAUGAUUAAAAGAUUAUGUUAUUAAACUUUUUAUAUGAUUAAACAUGUUAAAAG
Molecule: long non-coding RNA, 794 nt
Filed under: Mytilus galloprovincialis (Mediterranean mussel)
Lineage: Eukaryota; Metazoa; Mollusca; Bivalvia; Mytilida; Mytilidae
Source: RNAcentral